Molecule: long non-coding RNA, 1522 nt
Filed under: Pandoravirus neocaledonia
Description: hypothetical ncRNA
Source: RNAcentral
GCAGUGACGGUCAGAGACACACAUAAGAUCGGCCACGAUGUAGGGACCGGUCGGGUUUGCGGGCCUGUUCCACCGAGAGACACAGCGCGCGAAUCGCCGGUCGCGUUGACGCUGUGCGCCUUUGAUAAGCGGUAUUCCUCCCCAGUGCUGGCGCGUCCACGAAUAAAGCCGCCCGCGGCAACAGUGGGCGCACGCGUCUUGAUCGACCAGAUGAGCACCGACCACGGCGACAAAGACCUCGUAGCGGCCGUCUGAUGCGGCCGCACAGGCGGCCAUGGUUGCCGCGCUAGGGUGGCGCCCCAAGAGCACCAGCAGAUCGUCUUCGCUCCAGGAGGUGGCCGCGCAGGCCGCGACGACGUCGUCCCACGGAUAGCCUUGUUCAAGCAGACGGUAAGUGAGCGAGCGGUCGCCCAUGGCUGCUGCCGUGGCCACGGCAAUGGCGCCGUCGAUCGGUGUGCCGAUCGCCAAAGUCACAGCGUCCACCAGAUCGGCGCUUCCCGUCAUCAACGCCAGCGCCGCAGCGCGACCCGUCCAUAUGCAUGGGAACGCGGCACACAGCCACAACACCAAAGCACGGUGCUUGCCCAAAAUCGCCGCAUCUACGGAUGCAUUGCCGAGCACGAGCGCUGACGGGUUGAUACCUUUCACGCAGGCCCGCCAGUGAUGGCACGUGCGCGCCGCCACGGGCAGCCAUGGACGGCCGACAAACCCUAUUAUCAUGUGCAGCAUUUCCGGGGGCAAGGUUUCCAUGGUGCGCGCGGGCGGUCUGCUUGCCUUUGGUGUCAAAGAGGUUGAAACCUAGUCCCUUGGAUGCCAAACUUUGGGCGUCGUCGCCGAUGCAAUGAGAAAAAAAAUGGUGACCUCUCUCCCAUUGGAUCAGUGCAAUCAACGACAGCACCACGCCAACAAACCAAGCAAGAGUAGAACCAAUCUGCGAGAUUUUCUUUGUGCUGACAGGAGAUGGGCGACUGAAAACCUACGGUGGAGCAGUCCAACUUCUUUGUGCACAAAUACAAAAAAAGCAAACCCUGCACAAAAGGCCUUGUCCAACGCUGAGCGGUGGCCGAUCGCCCGAUCGGCUUUGUCAGGGGAAAACGGACCAGCCGUAUGGGUCGGGGGUCGAGACCAAUGCCGUGUCAAUGGCUCGCGGCUUAGCGGCUGGCCGGCUAGCCGCAGACUAUCAGCCGGCCGGGCCGCGGCCAAACCGAUCGCCGACGGGGAUAGUGCUGAGCAACGGCUAAAAAUCCUGGAUUAAUCCUGGCGCGAUAAGGACGUCGACAGUGGAAUUCGCAUGUUUUAGCCGUCGGCUAGCCAUCGCCCGCCGCCGCAUACCCGACCGAUUUGAAAUUGGAGAGGAAAAGAAGAGCAAGCGGAAUACUUUGGCAUCGAAAUGGGUCAUGUCUAAUGUUGGUCGAUGCCCAGCCGGUCCAUUCGCGGCCAAUUCGAUCCCUGACAGGGACCGAACCUGUCAACGGUGUCUUCUGGGUGGUGAGUAAAUCGUGCAUAAAAUAUAUGGUCAGUC